RNAcentral lists this long non-coding RNA (2337 nucleotides) under Capsicum annuum. RNAcentral's name for it is "long non-coding RNA (CANN_LNC019757)". The record is from RNAcentral. Lineage: Eukaryota; Viridiplantae; Streptophyta; Magnoliopsida; Solanales; Solanaceae.
UUUCUGAUCUGAGAACUACUGUUUAUCUUUGAUUUAUGGAUUGAUUGGAGAGAUUCAGUAUUGGAGUUGCAUUCUAUAUGAAAUACCAAGCACCUCUGCUGCUGUUGGUCUGUCGACAAACGAAUCAGGUGGUUUUACAUUUUGGAAUGACUCAGUAGGUGCUUAAAUUUGAAAAGUUUCGAAGGUAUUGGGGCUGUGCUAAAAUUUGUUUUGUUUCACUUACAUGUGUGAUUUUGUUCAAACGGUGUUAAAAAUUAUGUAAGGAAUGGAGUAAUUAUCCAGGAGGUGCAUUUCAACAUAUUCCUCUAUGUUAGCUUAACGAGUGAAUGCAACACAUUCCAUCCAAACAAGCUUUAAAUAGGCCAAGAGCUUUUCAACAGACAAAUAUUAAAAGCUUAUAACUAAGAAUUGGUGGGGGUUUCCCUAAAGAGAGACCCUUCCAAAAAUUGGCGUAUGCCACUUGUUGCAACAAGCACACGGUAUUCUUUAGUAAAAGGCGAAAGAAUAAUUCGCUAUGUGCUCAAUGCGUGGCUGCGUGAGUUGGCAAGGUGGCUGGAGCCAACAUUAAAUAUGGGGCAAAGCUGUUUGCUCUGCAGCUUGCAUCCGAUGUGGGAUAAAUUCUACAAUCAAACAAUCAUCAACUGGUUGGUGAGACUAAAACAUUUUCUCAUUUAUUUGCCAUUGAGAAUAGGUGAAGGAAAAAAUGGGUAAGGAGAUUACAACAUUCAGAAUCUAAAUUUCAUCAAUAAAGUAAAAGUUCAAAUAGUUAAUGAACUACUAAAAUUUCCAUAUUAUUCGUCAUUUCCACUACUCAAAUGGCAACAUUUCAACUAACAGUAUGUUUCGGAUGGAAAAAACAAGUGUACUAACACUUGUUAUAAUCUAGUAGGAAGAAUAUUCAUUAUUUUACCUAUAUAUAUGUAUGCUUCUUUGUAUGUUAUAACGUAGAGAGGAAAAAAAAACAAUAACACACACUUUAUUUAAAUCAUUCUUCUUUUCCAUUUCAUUUACUUCUCCAUUACUAUUAUACAAUCCUUAUUAUUAGUUAUAUUAUUUUUCAAAUUAACUUGUUGGUAUUUGUAUUAAUAGUUUUGUUGAUUCCUGUAUUCUCUAAAUAUUUAGAGAAGUGCUUGUUUAAUUCUGGGCAAACAUUUCACGCUGCUAAAAUAGUUUUUUAGGAUAGUGCCCAGCACGACUCAAGUAUAAUAAAUAUAUAUACACUGAUAUAUUAUACUGUUAAUACUAUGAAAAUAAUAUUUUAUUCACAGCUGUAUAAUAGUAUUAUUUUUCUUUAUUCCCGAACAUCUAUGAACUUGAAUCUGAAACGUGGGGGUUAUUUGGAGUUGUUUAAACUUACUGUGAAGUCAUGAACAAAAAUUGUCAUAGAAACUCCGAUAAGGCGGAGAUUGGAUUCUUCGUUCUUGUAAGUGGUGGUUCAAAUUGAUUGCUAGGUAAUGUUCCUAUGCUUGUAAGAAGCUCAUGAUUCAAAUCUGAGCUGAUUUGGUGAAAGUUAUUGUACCGAUUUUAAAAGUCAUAACUGGGGAAAUGGACAAAGAAAACAACUUGAAAAGCUAAAGACCAUGUUUCGCUUUUGUCUCCCUGAAGCAGUGCAUUGAGCUGAGCUGAACAUUGAAAUCGAAAAUUGGCUGGAUGAAAGUAAUCGUUUAGACAAACUGUCAGCAGCUUGCUCUGUGAAAAGUUUCAUAUCCCUGAACUAAUUCAAAUGUCUCCAUGAUUCAGGUUCGUCUUAGUUUGAAUUCAGGAAUCUCUUCGAGGAAUUGAGUUUGCUUUUCUGAUCUGAGAACUACUGUUUAUCUUUGAUUUAUGGAUUGAUUGGAGAGAUUCAGUAUUGGAGUUGCAUUCUAUAUGAAAUACCAAGCACCUCUGCUGCUGUUGGUCUGUCGACAAACGAAUCAGGUGGUUUUACAUUUUGGAAUGACUCAGUAGUUGCUGAAAUUUGAAAAGUUUCGAAGGUAUUGGGGCUGUGCUAAAAUUUGUUUUGUUUCACUUACAUGUGUGAUUUUGUUCAAACGGUGUUAAAAAUUAUGUAAGGAAUGGAGUAAUUAUCCAGGAGGUGCAUUUCAACAUAUUCCUCUAUGUUAGCUUAACGAGUGAAUGCAACACAUUCCAUCCAAACAAGCUUUAAAUAGGCCAAGAGCUUUUCAACAGACAAAUAUUAAAAGCUUAUAACUAAGAAUUGGUGGGGGUUUCCCUAAAGAGAGACCCUUCCAAAAAUUGGCGUAUGCCACUUGUUGCAACAAGCACACGGUAUUCUUUAGUAAAAGGCGAAAGAAUAAUUCGCUAUGUGCUCAAUGCGUGGCUGCGUGAGUUGGCAAG